This is a long non-coding RNA of Ictalurus punctatus (channel catfish), 404 nucleotides long. The record is from Ensembl. Lineage: Eukaryota; Metazoa; Chordata; Actinopteri; Siluriformes; Ictaluridae.
AACAGAUGUCCUUUCUCCGGGAUAAUUCGAUAACAAGGUAAAAAAGCUCUCCGUAACCAUGGUGAUGGACAGUAAGGAGGCUAAGCAUGACGUGCGUGUAGAAGUAACCCUAUCUGAAGGCCCAGACCGGCGGCGGCCGGGUAAAUUCCAGCCAUUCCGCCGCCUGUUUGGGAGGAAGAGGAGGAGGGAGACAGAGCGAGGGUUUGAGGAAACCGAACUUAAACCCAGCCACUCCACCGAUGAAGUGUGCAAUGGAGUGGUCUCAGGCCCAGAAGAGUCCAGUCAGCAUCUAAGAGAGCUAAAUCCCCUGGGGUCUCGAGCUUUUUCACACGAGAGCAUCUUCAUCCCUGAGGAUUCUGUAGAGAAGCCGUGCUCAGAACUGACCAUGUCUCAAGAGAACGUCU